Molecule: ribosomal RNA, 330 nt
Filed under: Triticum aestivum (bread wheat)
Lineage: Eukaryota; Viridiplantae; Streptophyta; Magnoliopsida; Poales; Poaceae
Description: partial small subunit ribosomal RNA
Source: RNAcentral
AUGCGCAAGCGACAAUUCGGACACGAUGCAAACACGGGCAACUCAUACAACUCAUGCAUUCACUCACGGGCGUCGUCUCAGGGUUAUACCUUCGAAGCGUGCAUUUACGAAACGGAUCAAGUUUGUGGUGGUACACGUCUCGAAGAGGGACUUAGACGCAUCCAAGGUUUCCGGGGGCGGCGGGAGUGGAACUUGGCGAAUCCGAGUUCUUCGGAGGUCGUCAAGGUCGUCAUCGAACUUGGUCAAAUACAUGGCGUGGGUAGUCGUUCACUCGACGGCCUUUGGCAACGGUUGUCGCACACGUUUCAUAGACGUUCGAGUCAUCUGUAA